UACGAGGGGGGCAAGCGUUGUUCGGAAUUAUUGGGCGUAAAGGGUGCGUAGGCGGUUUGGUAAGUCUUAUGUGAAAUCUACAGGCUCAACUUGUAGUCUGCAUGAGAAACUGCCGGGCUUGAGUAUGGGAGAGGUGAGUGGAACUCCUGGUGUAGCGGUGAAAUGCGUAGAUAUCAGGAGGAACACCUGUGGCGAAAGCGGCUCACUGGACCAUAACUGACGCUGAUGCACGAAAGCUAGGGGAGCAAAACAGG
Molecule: ribosomal RNA, 254 nt
Filed under: uncultured bacterium
Lineage: Bacteria
Description: partial 16S ribosomal RNA
Rfam family: Bacterial small subunit ribosomal RNA
Source: RNAcentral